AGUGAACGCUGGCGGUAGGCCUAACACAUGCAAGUCGAACGGCAGCACAGUAAGAGCUUGCUCUUACGGGUGGCGAGUGGCGGACGGGUGAGGAAUACAUCGGAAUCUACUUUUUCGUGGGGGAUAACGUAGGGAAACUUACGCUAAUACCGCAUACGACCUACGGGUGAAAGCAGGGGAUCUUCGGACCUUGCGCGAUUGAAUGAGCCGAUGUCGGAUUAGCUAGUUGGCGGGGUAAAGGCCCACCAAGGCGACGAUCCGUAGCUGGUCUGAGGGGAUGAACAGCCACAAUGGAACUGAGGAACCGGCCAAACUCCUGCGGGAGGGAACAGUGGGGAAUAAUGGGCAAUGGGGGCAAGGCUAAUCCAGGCAAACCGGGGUGGGUGAGAAAGCCUUUGGGGUGGAAAGGCCUUUUGGUUGGGAAGAAAAACAGCCAGUUUAAACCCCGGUGUUCUGACCGGACCCAAAAAAUAAGCCACGGCUAACUUCGUG
RNAcentral lists this ribosomal RNA (492 nucleotides) under uncultured bacterium. RNAcentral's name for it is "partial 16S ribosomal RNA". It matches the Rfam family "Bacterial small subunit ribosomal RNA", at positions 29 to 507 of the family's 1533-position model. The record is from RNAcentral.